UACGUAGGGUGCGAGCGUUGUCCGGAAUUAUUGGGCGUAAAGAGCUUGUAGGCGGUCUGUCGCGUCUGCUGUGAAAAUCCGGGGCUCAACCCCGGACUUGCAGUGGGUACGGGCAGACUAGAGUGUGGUAGGGGAGACUGGAAUUCCUGGUGUAGCGGUGAAAUGCGCAGAUAUCAGGAGGAACACCGAUGGCGAAGGCAGCUCGCUGGGACGGUAUUGACGCUGAGACGCGAAAGCGUGGGGAGCAAACAGG
This 253-nucleotide ribosomal RNA is filed under the name uncultured bacterium. Its description in RNAcentral is "partial 16S ribosomal RNA". It matches the Rfam family "Bacterial small subunit ribosomal RNA", at positions 524 to 776 of the family's 1533-position model. The record is from RNAcentral.